CCGGAGCGCCGGUAGCCCCCGGUAGCCCCUCGCACCAAUAACCCCGGACAGCGCGAGGCUUCCAGCAAACAGAGACAGAGAAAGGAGAGGACAGAGAAAUAUUGCCAGGAUCAGCUGCAGGGCAUGCAGAUCACAUGCGGCCGGGCCUCAGACUACCAGGGACUCCGGUCAGACGGGGUGGCCAGGACUUCCCCCUCUUCGUUCACAUUUAUACACCGUUAGUGUUCACACCUGUCCAGACACUUGUGAGUAGUUUGUAGUUCUGUUAGGUGACUGUGAACAGCUUGACUGGCAGCUGUGUUAACCGCAGAGAGGAUACUGCAUCGUAACUCCAGGUAUCACGACUUCCUCUCAGACUCAGUUACUUUUUAUUUUUACCAUCUUGUCUUUUUGAGCUCACAAUUGACUUUUUGACUCACAAUGCGGACUGUUUGUUUCCGAAUUGACUUUUUGUUUCCGACAUAUGACUUUUUAACCCAUAUUUCUGACUUUUUAAUCCAUAACUCUGACUUUUUAAAACAUCUCCUUAUGACUCUCUAUCACAUAACGAUGACUUAAUUGAGCACAUAAGUAUGAAUCACCAUGGGUUUUAAAAAAAAAUAAUAAUCAGGGCUGGGAUGUCAUCUGUUUUUUUGUUUGUUUUUUUAUUUAUCUUUUAUUAAACUCUUGGGGAUGGGCUUCCAUAGAAGUGGCAAGAGAAUUAUACAUUAUUUCAAAGUUGACCUAAUUCCAUCUUCAUGACUUUUUAGUGCACAACAUAUCCUAUAGGCAUAGAUCACAAGUUCUUCUGCGUGUCCUGUUCUUCCCUGUUCUCCCUCUCAUCAGAUUUAUUAAGUGACGCUCGGGUCAUGUUGGGUGAACCAUUAUAAAUGGAUAAUUCGUUUUACAGAGGAUGCUUUGGCAAUUAUUUCACAGUGUUCCCUCUCAGUAUCUAUUAGUGUGCUUUCAGAGGCUAAGAUUUGUGAAUGGAUAUAAUUGUCUUUCUAACUCGUCUGCAUCCUUGUUUGACUCCUUGUCUCUGUGUCUCACCUGCCCGAUCCCUCUCCUGCUCCUCCUGGCCGCUCCGAGGGUGUCAGCUGCCUUGGCUGUGACCUCACCAUGGUGACGCGUAAUCCAGAUUAACCUGCUCUCUUAUUCCGCCAGACAUGGAAGUGAUUAGAGAUUAUGACCGUGUCCUUUUAAUAGAAUUUGGACGUGUGGGUAAUCAACUGCGUCCGCCAGCGUCGCGUGUCAGAUGUUCCCCUUGAGCGUCCUACAACUCCUUCAGUUCAGCUGCUCAGUGGCCGAUCACACAGAUCAUACAGUGGUUGUACUGAGCGGCCACCAGCCAGGGGUGAAAGUGUGCAAGAGUGUAAGCAAUGUUACAGCGUGUUCCUGUCAGCUGUGUUGCUCUCGGUGGAAUUAAGUGACGUCAUGCCUGUGUUGCUGAUGGAAUCUCCUGUUUGGUGGAAAGAGCCCGUCAUCGGGUCAUCGGGCCUUAGAGAGUGACGUCACGCGCACGUCUUACUCCAGCAGCUUUACUAUACACACUGGGGACAUGGUCUUUUUCUUUCCAGCGCUCAUGACGCACUCUGGCAUAAUGAAGCCGUUAAGAGGAGUCCGGUACAGAGGCUGAGACCAAGAGGAGGACAGGGGCGAGAGGGACAGAGUGAUGUGGCAGGAGCCUGAGUUUGCCACGAACACUGGAAGCCUGUGGGAAAGCAGAGCCAUAGCAACAGAAUGAAUUAAUGAACAGGAUCCGAAUGCUACGUUUAACA
Molecule: long non-coding RNA, 1757 nt
Organism: Acanthopagrus latus (yellowfin seabream)
Lineage: Eukaryota; Metazoa; Chordata; Actinopteri; Spariformes; Sparidae
Exons: 6
Source: RefSeq, a predicted model, not a curated record